Long non-coding RNA from Sus scrofa (pig), 4475 nucleotides. RefSeq annotates it as thioredoxin-like protein 4B. The record is from RefSeq and is a predicted model, not a curated record. Lineage: Eukaryota; Metazoa; Chordata; Mammalia; Artiodactyla; Suidae.
UAAGGCUUCCGGUCGCAGCGGGGAAGAUUGGCCGUGAGUAGAAUAGGCCCUUCCGCUUAUUGGGCUGCUGAACUGAACAGACCGCGCGUUAAUCACUGCGUUUGUGCGUUUUCUUUUUCCGUUUCCGUCCACUUAAGAGGUCGGCCGAGAGUUAUUUGGCAACAGCCCCUGGGUUACUCUGGUUUAGGGUCGCCGCCGCGGUUGCGGAAGAAGAAAGGAGUCGCCGGCGUCGCGGCUUUUUGGAGAAAGUGUCAGGGUUGCCGAAAGCCUUGAAGUGCUGGCGAGGAAGAUGACGUGCAAAUAAAGUAUCAUUUUUCCCCGGCACUUGUGGGCCAGGAGUAGUCCAGCCACUGGCAUCAUAAAAAAUAGGACUGACAGUGAGGAUUGAUAUUUGGGUUAUUUCAACAUGAGCUUCCUGUUACCCAAGCUGAGCAGCAAAAAGGAAGUAGACCAGGCGAUAAAAAGUACUGCAGAGAAGGUGUUGGUUCUCAGGUUUGGGAGAGACGAGGAUCCUGUCUGUCUGCAGCUAGAUGAUAUUCUUUCUAAAACCUCUUCUGACUUAAGCAAAAUGGCUACUAUAUAUCUGGUAGAUGUGGACCAGACUCCAGUCUAUACACACUAUUUUGACAUCAGUUACAUUCCUUCUACUGUGUUUUUCUUCAAUGGGCAGCAUAUGAAAGUGGAUUAUGGGUCCCCAGAUCACACCAAGUUUGUGGGAAGUUUCAAAACCAAACAAGACUUUAUAGAUUUGAUUGAAGUAAUUUAUCGAGGAGCAAUGAGGGGAAAACUUAUUGUCCAAAGUCCCAUUGAUCCCAAGAAUAUUCCCAAAUACGACCUGCUCUAUCAAGACAUUUAGCAGGUUCACUGCUGUCAAAGUCGAAGAGAAAGGCACAUCCUGAAAGAGUACCUGAACCCAGCUGUGCUGUUUUCCUGGAGUCCUGCGGAAGCGUGGUCAGCAUCCUGGCGGAGAAGAGGCUUGAUAUGUGUAGAGCUUACUUGUCCCCAGGUAGAAGACGUGUGGCAAUGGCACUGAGGUCACAUGACCAGAGACGCCGGAGUGUCUACCCCUACGGACCUCGGCGCAGCCCCAUCAGCCACGGUCAGUGGCCCCAGCGGGAUCAUUUCACCCUCUCUUUAUAUUGUGCUUUUCUUUCUUCUUUAAGGUAAUACAGAAUCCUUCUAAACAUUGCCUGGUACAAUUCGAUCAACUACGUUUAUCUGACACACAAGUAAAAUAGAAAGUCAGUUCCCGUAAGAGCAGAAGUCCUUCUCUUCAAGAUGUACGCACACCCACCCCUUCCAUCAUCCUCAGCCUCGCCUGUUCCUCCACACGUAUCUCAAGCAGCUCACCUGUCUCCAGUCCCUGCAUCCCAGUUUCUCUUGGAAAAAAUAAUUCUCUACUGAUAAUCGGGCAAGUUUGUUUAUCUUCCAGCCUUUCAGGCUCAGACUUUUAAAGGUAUCCUGGUUUGCUCAUUUUACCAGCGUUUAUGUUAAUAAAUUGCCCAAGAAGUGAGAACUUGAGUCUUUACCAUCCAGCACUCAAGUGGAGCUAAACAAAGAACUAACUACCCUCAGUGAGUAGGAGCAGACGUCUUUCAGAGACAGGAAAUUGUACUUCAAGGACUCAAGCCUGGAAAGAGCUCAGAAUUAUGAGAAAGAAAUACCAUCUUUAUAGGAUUUGCCUGUUUUAACAAUUUUAUGAGGCAUUCUUGUUCUUCCAGGAGACACCACUGGACAAGUUCCUGCUCCUCUCAAAACCUCAUGGGGGCUAAUGGUACUGACUUCCUAGGGUAAGAGGAUAGAUGCAGAGGCAGAGGGCAGUGCACCAGGCGGCACGCAAGGAGCUGCUACUGGCCACCUUGCCAACAAAAGCCCAGUACUGUGCAGGGCAGCAGUGUUGCUGCAGGUCCGUCCCCCUUUGCCAAGUGCUUUCUGGGGAGCGGUGACCAUGGAGCCUAGUUCUGACAGGCAUGGCAUAGAAGGAAGGCUGCUGGACUGACCGUGGUGGCCUUUGUUUGUAAAGGAGAGAGCCACUCCCAGAAUGAGAUCACAAAACCCUUUCACCACCACCUCCGUCUUUUGGCCCCCGCUUCCUGCUUUCAUGGUAGUCGUGACGCAUGGGCUACAGCAGCCGUCUUAGGACCAGAAGGCAGCCAGCCCGGAUGGACAGUGAACAUGCCAAGAAGACCAGUAAAAAGAGCCUAGGUCCUGGGUUCCUGUUGUGGCUCAGCGGUUAACGAACCUGACUAGGAUCCGUGAGGAUGUGGGUUUGAUCCCCGGCCUCACUCAGUGGGUGAAGGAUCUGGUGUUGCUGUGAACUGUGGUGUAGGUCACACACACACACGAGGCUUGGAUCUGGCGUGGCUAUGGCUGUGGUGUAGGCUGGCAGCUGUAGUUCCGAUUGGACCCCUAGCCUGGGAACCUCCAUAUACCAUGGGUGCGGCCCCAAAAAGACCAAAAAAAAAAAAGAGAGAAAAGAGCCUGGGUCCCUACCGAUGAGCCUGAGCUACUGAGCGGACUCUGGACCUGCCUCCCUCCAGACUUCUGUGAGGAUAAAACGCCCUCCCUGCCCGUCACUGUAGUCUGUCCCUCAUGACCUAAGCCACAGAGCAUUUGAUGUGUGGAAGGUUUUUGCUCUGAUACCAGCAAAAAUAAUCUGUGUGUGUAAGCAUCUCAUCUCUUCUCUCCUGAGGGCUUUAGGGAAUAUUGCUCUAAAGUCAUGGCUUUUGUUUUUGUUCCCAUCUUAGUUGCUCCCCAUUCCACAAGUUUUUAUUAAGUACAUACUGUGUGCCCUGUCUUAGGCCAGAUGCUACAUAAAAACGAGUGACUGUUGCAUGGAAAAAAGGCUUCUUAGGAGAGACGGGACCUGAGCCUUAAAGGAAAGUAGGAGGUACUCCUGGAGAAAGGGGGAGGGCAUUUCAGGAGAGGGCGUGGGGGUGCGGGGUGGGGGGAAGGCGCAGGGGCCCGAGGCAGCAGCGUGUCGAGAGGGUUCCACAGAGUUCAGUGUCGCUGAAGCCCAAGGCCAAGGCCAGGCGGGUGGAAGGUGCUGCUGGGGAGGGAGGCAGAGGGGAUAAAUGGAUCGAGAAGAUGCCAGAGGUUUUCUCUUACUAUUUUCCUCCCGAGUGGUGAGUAGAAGCCGCUUAGUAUAAGCCGAUUAUUCUUCAAGAAAACCUAAUGCUGAAGGUACUACCACUCACUCUGAUCCCUCUCACGGGUUCUAGGACAUAGGUCUAGGUCCUUCACUGGCCUACCAGCUCUGACCCGUAGAAAAUUACUGAUGGCGCUGGAAAGUGCAUGUGAGAAGAACAGCACAGUGAAGGCAGAACCCUCUUGAGAGUAGUGACAUCCGGUGACAUUCUAAACCACGAGAAGGAGAGGCCACGUUUUGGUGUGACAGAGGGGAUAUUGGCAAAGCCUUCGUUCAUUGUGCUGAACGAAGGCUUACAGCAAGAAAGAGUUCAGUGAGAGCUGCGCUUUGAAGAAGAGCUUUGUGUUCUGGGUUCUGCAACCUUUUUUUCUGGGAAACCCUUAAUAGCAAGAUCUUAUCUUUGUGAAAUGAAAGACUCAAACAGCUUGCAUCUUGACUCCUGGUAAAGGGUAGGUUUCUUCCACGUGGGAAAAGCAGCGCUCCCUGAGGAAGAGACUUCUAACUUUACCCAGUGUCCCAGGGUGAUUACUUGUGGGCACUGAGGGAUCGUCCGGCUUAAGCCCAUCAUAGGAAAGUCCGGGGACCCGGUGGGCAGGGAGCUUCAGGAACUUGGCAAGUGUAUUGUCCAGCUAUGACCUGGACCCAGCCAGUCCAGAGAUCCUGCCUUUACACCAUCUUACUCUGUGGUCUAAAGAGCUGGUGUGUUGAAAGACAAACAGCCAAGUGUCGAAACACUUGUUUUCAUCCCAUUUUGAGCUGGCCGCUUCCUCACCAGCCUGUACUCUGUCUCCCAUUUCACUCCGAAGAAGCCAAAGAAGGCAGUGGAAAGAGCUCGGGACUUGGAUUCAGACAGACCUAGGUUCAAGGUUGGGCUUCACUACUUGAUAGCUGUGUAACUUUAAGCAAAUCACUUAACUUCUCUGAGUCUGUUUGCUUGUCUGUAAAACGAUACCAGUGACCUCCCCCCUGAGGCCUGCCAUCCCAUAGGCGCCUCAUUCAGUGAGCAUGAGCCCCGGAGGGGACAGUGCUUGUCACCUGAGGGAUUGCCAGUUGGCCUGGGGUGUCUUCUGACCCACUCCCUGUAGUCUCUAGACCACUCCGCUGUGGCUGUACCAUAAAUGAGAGAAUGAAAACAGCUCAAGGCUACAGACAGCACAGGAGGGAAUCAAAGGAAGCUCUUUAUUGACUGACUCAGCGAUGUGGGGCUGGAACCCGGCAGCUUCACACCACGUUUUCUCCCCUCCGCUCCCGUCCAGUUUUCCCUCGUCCUUUCAGGCCCAGGCUGGCGGCCUCAGUUGUCAGCUAUGGUUGUCUGAAUCCAGUCCAG